Galleria mellonella (greater wax moth) is the source of this 422-nucleotide long non-coding RNA. RefSeq lists it as uncharacterized. The transcript is spliced from 3 exons. NCBI's taxonomy places the organism in Eukaryota, Metazoa, Arthropoda, Insecta, Lepidoptera, Pyralidae. The record is from RefSeq and is a predicted model, not a curated record.
UGACGCCUGACGCACGACGCCCUACGCGCGCCGCCUAGCAACGCGACGCCGCCGUUUCUAUAUAUCUACCUAACAUAGAGUCAUCUAAAACGCCAUAACACAUCCACGAACCUGUCUCAAACUUUGUUCAAAAUCAAAGACCCAAAGGGAGAUGAAUGCACUGGAAUACGAAACAUGGCCAGAAAGGGUCAGAAGUGAAAUAAAUAAAAAAAGAUCAAAUGGGGGUGAAUGGAAAAUAAAUAUAUUCUGAUCCCAUAAUAGAAAUUGAUAAUUUUAACAUCAGAUAAUUAUCUUUGCAAAAAUUGUAAGCCAGUCAUGGGAUAAAGGUAGUAGCGAUAGAACGAGAUUGGUGCACGGCGUGAGGUGUGCGGCGGGAUUCGAUGGUUGGCCGCGCGUCCCACAUGAUCAUACUGUCCCAGCAC